This is a long non-coding RNA of Nicotiana attenuata, 2505 nucleotides long. RefSeq lists it as uncharacterized. The transcript is spliced from 3 exons. NCBI's taxonomy places the organism in Eukaryota, Viridiplantae, Streptophyta, Magnoliopsida, Solanales, Solanaceae. The record is from RefSeq and is a predicted model, not a curated record.
UCCUUUGUCUGUUCAAAGGUUGAAAGCACAGGUCAGCUCUUUGCUUCAAGCGUGUCUCUCAUUCUGCUGAGUUAUUCAGCAUUCUCUUCUCUCUCUCCUUCAAUAGCGGAUUGCUCUGGUGUUUUUAUCGAUGGUCUUGUGAGCUAAAACUUCGAUCUCUCUGGAAAUCAGGUUUGGCCUUUUCUUUGUUUAUUUCAUAUUCUUUGUAGUCAUAAUUUGUUGGGUAUCGUUUGUUCUCUGUUCUUUGGUGGGUAUAUGUUAGAUUUUUUCUCCUAUUGGGGUACUUUAUUGUUGAAUUUCCCACUUGCAUAUGCGUAAAUUGGUUUGAUUUACUCAUGCAUGUUUGGAAAUUGGUACCUAGAUAAUUCAAGAGCAAGUUUCGUCCUUUAGUCGCAUUUCUGCAAUCUCUCUUUGUUUCUUGCACUUUUUUGUCAGUAUUUAGAAUAUUGGUCUUCGCUCUUUCAAUGUUUAUCUAUCUUUAUUCUAUCUAUCAUCUGAUUUGACCUCUCUGUUUUGGUAAUCUUUUUUUGUUUGAUUGCAGUUUCUUUGUUGGUAAUUUGGAUUUGGUGGGUACAUCAUAGUUUAACCAAAUCUCUAACAAGAAACUGUUAAUUCAUGUCACUAAUUUUAAGUAAUUUCAUUUACCUUAUAUUUUCAUAAAGGAAUUUGGUGAUUUGACUAUUUGAACUUGGGGUUUUGAGCAUUCAAUCAAAUUUACAUCUCAGAGUUGGACCAAACACUCAAAACGCCAUAUUGGGGUGUAACGCGUUGAUAAAUGUCUAUUCAUGGCAGAACUGGUUUGGUUACUUUCCGUGUGGAGUAUCAUGUGUUGUAUUUCGACCUUUUAAAGGCCAUAAUAGUUACCAUGAUUAACAAGGUAAGAACAUUCGUUGCAUUUUAUUGAAGUUUUAUUUGUUUCUCUCAUCUUUCUACGUCAUCUUUCUUGAUUGUCUCUAUCAAUUUUUUUGUUCUCUUCCUUCUUUCUUAUUAGUUUAGUUCUGCUAACCCUGAAGACCAAGACGCCAACUCUUUUGGCUCCAAGUUAUUGCAAUUCCAUAGCUGGAGAUGAAAAAACUUCUGGUGAUGUUAUUCAUGAUUUUUUGAGUUUGUCUGAUGGUGACAGUGCCACUGAGAUUCCCUGAAAUAGAAGUGCAAGAUAAGCCUUUUAACAUCACUGAUGAUUGUAGGUGUUAUUUGGUUUGCAGAGAUUCCCUUUAAUUGCCUGCAAGUCAAUUGUAGAUAUAUAGCAAUUUCUCUUUCAAUUAGCACCAUCUGAACCCAGUACUUUCAACGGUAAUGCUUGCCAUUUAUGUGUAAAAAUCUACUAAACUGUAAUAAAUAGUAGAUAUGAACCCAUGACUUUAAAAAUAUAAUAGUUUCAAAGCUAAGAACAUUAAAGGUUGAAGCCAUAGAGCGUAAAUCCUAGAUCCACCUCUGAUCAUAUUUGAAGGUCAAACUGGAAAACGGAUCAACUUUUGGUGUAAUUAAGCACUUUGAAGUGGAGUGCAGAAUUCUACAAGUUGCACCUCUUAAUUAUUUAGUAAGAACAAUAGUGGUGAUUAAGUGCCACCAUAGUCUUUAUUUUUCAUGGUUAAUGCAACUGUUACUAAGAAUAAUAAAAGGUCUCGCCUGAAUUUGAGUCUUUGGAUAUGAUGAACCAAUUUCUACUAUAACAUUUGCUCUUUAAAUCUUUACUAUGUUUGAUUUGGUGAUUGGAUAUUAGUUGAAGGUAGAUGUUGGCUUCAUGGAGCUCAGACCUUCUGAAAUUGCAGCAGCACUGGCAAUGUCUAUUUCAGUCUUUCAGGGAAAAGCGAGCAAAAAAAUAUAUUGAAAGGUUACUCUGGCACGGGAGGAAAAGUUCCAACUUCUCCUCAAAAGUCCUCAUCACAUGUAUUUGAGAUUUCAAAGCAAUGACAUGACGGUUUCAGAUGUGUACAGAACACAAUUGCAUUAACUUUAGAAGAUCUCUAAUUUGUGUCACUACAACUUAAGUGAUGGUACAUGAAAUUCCUCUUUUAUUUGGUGAUUGCUAUAAAGAUUGUGUACAACUCUUUAUAAGAAAGACUUCUAAAAACUAUGUCAACUGUGUUGGGCCCGUGCAUAGCACGGGCUUAUCUAGCUAGUUAUUUAGAAAGGGCAGUUGGGGUGAACGAACAUGUACGAACAAGGGCACUUUGAUAAUUACAAGUUCAUGUAGGGAUAAAUUGGUAAAUUGGUCAUCAAUCUUUUCCAAGAAAAUCGUGUACAGCAUAUUACUGUGUAAAACUAUUCUCUCCCAGCUACUGAUACACAAUCAGCAAAUGAAGCCAGCUCGGAUGCCAACGUGGAUGCUAAGUUAGUUUAGUUAGUUAACAAUUUGAAUUGUACGAGUGGCGGGAAAUUUAGUUAGAAGCGAACUUAGCAUUUCUACUUCUAGAUUCUUCAAUGUAGUGAGCCUAUAUACAGACUUUAUUGUAAUUGUUGUGGUUAAGUGAAAGUGAAAUAUACAGAAAAUUGUUCUACUUC